Molecule: long non-coding RNA, 230 nt
Filed under: Panax ginseng (ginseng)
Lineage: Eukaryota; Viridiplantae; Streptophyta; Magnoliopsida; Apiales; Araliaceae
Description: long non-coding RNA (PGIN_LNC014489)
Source: RNAcentral
AGAUAAUUAAACAAUAAGCACAAAAUAUGAUAGACAACUCAACUUGAAUAAAUAAGUGGAUUAAUUAGAGAAAUCAAUUAAUAAGCAUAAAAAGUUCAAUUAUAGCCUUAAUUAAAAAGUUAGUUCAUACUGAAAAUUAAAACCAAAAAUCCCAUUAAAAACAUCAUAAAAAAAAAUUACAAAUAGAGAAGAAGAAUAAAAACUUAAUAAUUAACCUCCAGUCUUCAAUC